GCGCACCAGGCGAGAAACUUCACACUGUGCGAAAGCACGAUGAGGGAAUCCCAAGUGCUUGCACGUAAGUGUAAGCUGUUUCUCUGUCUAAAACGCAGAGAGAGUAAGGGCUGGGUAAGACGGGUGCCAGCCGCCGCGGUAAUACCUGCAGCUCAAGUGGUGACCGUUAUUAUUGGGCCUAAAACGUCCGUAGCCGGUUUAAUAAAUGCCUGGGGUAAAUUGUGUAGCUUAACUAUACGAAUUCCGGGUAGACUGUUAAACUUGAGACCGGGAGAAGUUAGAGGUACUCCUGGGGUAGAGGUGAAAGUUCUGUAAUCCUAGGGGGACCACCAGUGGCGAAGGCGUCUAACUAGAACGGGUCUGACGGUGAGGGACGAAGCCCUGGGGCGCAAACGGGGA
RNAcentral lists this ribosomal RNA (399 nucleotides) under uncultured microorganism. RNAcentral describes it as "bacterial SSU rRNA". It matches the Rfam family "Archaeal small subunit ribosomal RNA", at positions 330 to 729 of the family's 1478-position model. The record is from RNAcentral.